Molecule: ribosomal RNA, 351 nt
Filed under: uncultured bacterium
Lineage: Bacteria
Description: bacterial SSU rRNA
Rfam family: Bacterial small subunit ribosomal RNA
Source: RNAcentral
AGCGAACGCUGGCGGCAGGCUUAACACAUGCAAGUCGAACGGGCACCUUCGGGUGUCAGUGGCAGACGGGUGAGUAACACGUGGGAACGUACCCUUUGGUUCGGAACAACUCUGGGAAACUGGAGCUAAUACCGGAUACGCCCUGAUGGGGAAAGGUUUAUCCGCCGAAGGAUCGGCCCGCGUCUGAUUAGCUAGUUGGUGGGGUAACGGCCCGCCAAGGCGACGAUCAGUAGCUGGUCUGAGAGGAUGAUCAGCCACACUGGGACUGAGACACGGCCCAGACUCCUACGGGAGGCAGCAGUGGGGAAUCUUGCGCAAUGGGCGAAAGCCUGACGCAGCGACGCCGCGUGA